UCCUACGGGAGGCAGCAGUGGGGAAUAUUGGACAAUGGGCGAAAGCCUGAUCCAGCAAUGCCGCGUGUGUGAAGAAGGCCUUCGGGUUGUAAAGCACUUUAAGUUGGGAAGAAAAAACUUUGGCUAACAUCCAAAGUCUUGACGGUACCGACAGAAUAAGCACCGGCUAACUCUGUGCCAGCAGCCGCGGUAAUACAGAGGGUGCUAGCGUUAAUCGGAUUUACUGGGCGUAAAGCGUGCGUAGGUGGUUGGGUAAGUCGGAUGUGAAAGCCCUGGGCUUAACCUGGGAAUUGCAUUCGAUACUGCUCGACUCGAAUUCGGUAGAGGGAGGCGGAACUCCAGGUGUAGCGGUGAAAUGCGUAGAUAUCUGGAAGAACACCGAUGGCGAAGGCAACCUCCUGGGCCUGAAUUGACACUGAGGCACGAAAGCGUGGGUAGCAAACAGGAUUUGAUACCCUGGUAGUCCACGCCGUAAACGAUGAGAACUUGACGUUGGUUUGCCUAGCAAAUCGGUGUCGUAGCUAACGCGAUAAGUUCUCCGCCUGG
This 546-nucleotide ribosomal RNA is filed under the name Nevskia aquatilis. Its description in RNAcentral is "bacterial SSU rRNA". It matches the Rfam family "Bacterial small subunit ribosomal RNA", at positions 337 to 876 of the family's 1533-position model. Lineage: Bacteria; Pseudomonadati; Pseudomonadota; Gammaproteobacteria; Nevskiales; Nevskiaceae. The record is from RNAcentral.